This 756-nucleotide small RNA is filed under the name Pan troglodytes (chimpanzee). RNAcentral describes it as "sense overlapping". The stretch from base 14 to 289 matches the Rfam family "SOX2 overlapping transcript exon 3". Lineage: Eukaryota; Metazoa; Chordata; Mammalia; Primates; Hominidae. The record is from RNAcentral.
CAGGGGAUUGCAGUGGCAAAGCUAGGCUAGGUCUUGGAGGCUGGUGUAAGGCGAUGCGGGUGAAGGCAGGAGGCUGAUGGAGAGACUGGGGGGAAGAAAAGCCGAAAUGGAUUCACGGUGCCUUGGAUGAAGGACGAGAGGGGAACUGCAAGCUCCUUCAACUGGUUCUGUCCGGUGAGAAGUGAUCAAGCUUGGGCUGACAAGAGGCUCAGGGAGCCCUCACGUUCUUUCGCUUUUUUACCUGCCAAUCAAACUGCUACAAGACAACACCCUGAUCUGGCAUGGACAUCGCGGGUCCAAGCCUGUAGCCCCAAAUCGGAUAAUCUCUGCAGCUGAUAACAAGCAAAAGAGAAGCCAGGCAACAGCCAUAUUAAAGAAGAAAACAGUCAACUCUGAGCAGGAAGAAAUGUAAUGAAUUGAGUGCUGUCAGAGAUGUCUUCUGUUUGAACAAUCUGUGAUGGGCUGAAUGGCAGGGACUCCCUCAUCCAGUGCAGAUCCAACUUAGAAAUAAUGUUUCAUUCAAGAUAAGGCUCGUGGUUUAGGAGAUUGUGACCUGGCUUGCAUCAUUCUAAGACUUCUAUCGUCUGUUUUCAAAACCCAAGGAGGACCUCAUUUUCUGUGUGAUAGUUCCUCAUGCUUUGCCAGCCACUGGGUCUUUAAGGAAGCUUGCCAAGAGUUCCCGGCUGGGAAGGACAGUUCGAGUUCAUCAUAGACAAUGAGCUGGCACCACAGUUUAAGUGACUCACCAACCUGGUU